UCUUUUGCUGACGAGUGGCGCACGGGUGAGUAAUAUAUAGGUAACGUGCCUCUUAGUCUGGGAUAGCCAUUGGAAACGAUGAUUAAUACUAGAUACUCCUUCUCAUUAUAAUUUGAGUCGGGAAAGUUUUUCGCUAAGAGAUCGGCCUAUAUCCCAUCAGUUAGUUGGUAAGGUAACGGCUUACCAAGGCAAUGACGGGUAGCGGGUUUGAGAGGAUGAUCCGCCACACUGGUACUGAGACACGGACCAGACUCCUACGGGAGGCAGCAGUGAGGAAUAUUGCACAAUGGAGGAAACUCUGAUGCAGCAACGCCGCGAGGAGGAUGACGCAUUUCGGUGUGUAAACUCCUUUUAUAAGGGAAGAAAAUGACGGUACCUUAUGAAUAAGCACCGGCUAACUCCGUGCCAGCAGCCGCGGUAAUACGGAGGGUGCAAGCGUUACUCGGAAUCACUGGGCGUAAAGGACACGUAGGCGGGUUGUCAAGUCAGGUGUGAAAUCCUACAGCUUAACUGUAGAACUGCACUUGAAACUGGCAACCUAGAGUAUGGGAGGGGGAGAUGGAAUUAGUGGUGUAGGGGUAAAAUCCGUAGAUAUCACUAGGAAUACCGAAAGCGAAGGCGAUCUCCUGGAACAUUACUGACGCUAAGGUGUGAAAGCGUGGGGAGCAAACGGGAUUAGAUACCCCGGUAGUCCCACGCCCUAAACGAUGAACACUAGUCGUCGGGAUGCUUAGUCCAUCUCGGCGGAUGCACUUAACAGAUUAAGUGUUCC
Molecule: ribosomal RNA, 772 nt
Filed under: uncultured bacterium
Lineage: Bacteria
Description: bacterial SSU rRNA
Rfam family: Bacterial small subunit ribosomal RNA
Source: RNAcentral